Molecule: unclassified non-coding RNA, 388 nt
Filed under: soil metagenome
Description: partial contains 5.8S ribosomal RNA, internal transcribed spacer 2, and large subunit ribosomal RNA
Rfam family: 5.8S ribosomal RNA (bases 1-119)
Source: RNAcentral
GAAGAACGUAGCGAAAUGCGAUACUUGGUGUGAAUUGCAGAAUCCCGUGAACCAUCGAGUCUUUGAACGCAAGUUGCGCCCGAAGCCAUUAGGCCGAGGGCACGCCUGCCUGGGCGUCACACGUCGUUGCCCCCCCAUCUACUCCUUCGGGAUUGCGGGGGGCGGAUGAUGGCCUCCCGUGCGCCUCGCCGCGCGGUUGGCAUAAAUGCCAAGUCCUCGGCGACGCACGCCACGACAAUCGGUGGUUGCGAAACCUCGGUUGCCCGUCGUGUGCGGUCGUCGCGCAUCGAGGGCUCGAAAAAAUUGCCGGGUUCCGGCUCGGCUUUCAACGCGACCCCAGGUCAGGCGGGGUUACCCGCUGAAUUUAAGCAUAUCAAUAAGCGGAGGA